Non-coding RNA from Mycena galopus ATCC 62051, 94 nucleotides. The record is from the annotation of a GenBank genome assembly. Lineage: Eukaryota; Fungi; Basidiomycota; Agaricomycetes; Agaricales; Mycenaceae.
GCAUUAAUGGGGUAGUGGUAACCUGGGUCGUUGCCAUUGACUAUGAGUCGCAUGCUGCCUCGACCCGCCGGGGGUUCGAUUCCCCCUUAAUGCA